This is a long non-coding RNA of Coffea eugenioides, 674 nucleotides long. RefSeq lists it as uncharacterized. The transcript has 7 exons. Lineage: Eukaryota; Viridiplantae; Streptophyta; Magnoliopsida; Gentianales; Rubiaceae. The record is from RefSeq and is a predicted model, not a curated record.
CUCUUGAAGACCGAUCCCUAUUGCUGUUAUCCUCCAGACAAAAUUCCAUCUUCGUGAGACCCAUAGUUCUCCCCUGAAUUUCUGGCAUUUGAUUGUACUUGAAACAGGUUGUAAUCUCAAUUGGGGGGUCCAGAUUGUUUUUCUUCUGAUAGAGUUGAUGGACGAUGGGCUCAAGAGUGCAAAGGGACUGGUGUUUUGUUGAUCUCCUACUCAGAAAAGCAAUCCAUAUGGUGGUUAAAGGUUUGUCCAAGACGAGGAUUCUCAAAUAUUACAUUCUAAGCACCUGCUUGACAUAAUGACCAGCUAAUGCACUUUUUGGACAACUUUUUAUAGCUCAAAUGAAGGAAGAGCGAAAUAAGGAGGCUACUUUUCUUAUUUCAGCCUUCAAGAAAAGUGAGAAAGUUGAUGAACUGCUUGAGUUGGCUGGCUACUACCAGACUUUUUUCAUGAAUUCUUAUCAAGAAGCAAGGAUAAAAACAUGGCAGUAGGAGAUUAUUCGAAUAAGCUCUGGGAAGAGGAAGACAAAUAAACUCUUGAACGAUAUUCGGCAUUGUAAAGAGAUUGAGAAAUGCAAGCUUGAACCAUAGUUAGUAAACACUUAGUAUCCAAUUAUGCAUACAACUUGUAAUAAUUUAUAGAAGUUUUUUUUUAACUGUAUUCUUUAUCAAUAUACU